GCCCUGGUGGCUGAAUGGUUAAGCACUCAGCUGCUGACUGAAAGAUUGGUGGUUCCAACCCUCCAGUGGCU
This 71-nucleotide transfer RNA is filed under the name Loxodonta africana (African savanna elephant). It matches the Rfam family "tRNA". Rfam says of the family: Transfer RNA (tRNA) molecules are approximately 80 nucleotides in length. Lineage: Eukaryota; Metazoa; Chordata; Mammalia; Proboscidea; Elephantidae. The record is from Rfam by way of RNAcentral.